Long non-coding RNA from Erinaceus europaeus (western European hedgehog), 166 nucleotides. RefSeq lists it as uncharacterized. The record is from RefSeq and is a predicted model, not a curated record. NCBI's taxonomy places the organism in Eukaryota, Metazoa, Chordata, Mammalia, Eulipotyphla, Erinaceidae. The transcript is spliced from 2 exons.
ACCUGCACCCCUCACCUUUUAGCGUCGGGGGCCACCUCGCCUCGCACUCGGAGGGACUCUCCAGGUUUGAGAUUCAGGUUGCUGGCAACCAGACCCUGCGCAGACGAGAGAACAGGAUAGUUCUGGGACUGCGGCACCAGCUGUCCAAAGACUCCACUGGAGAAAA